This 253-nucleotide ribosomal RNA is filed under the name uncultured bacterium. Its description in RNAcentral is "partial 16S ribosomal RNA". It matches the Rfam family "Bacterial small subunit ribosomal RNA", at positions 524 to 776 of the family's 1533-position model. The record is from RNAcentral.
UACGUAGGGUCCGAGCGUUAAUCGGAAUUACUGGGCGUAAAGCGUGCGCAGGCUGUUUUGUAAGUCAGAUGUGAAAUCCCUGGGUUCAACCUAGGAACUGCGUUUGAAACUACAAGGCUAGAGUGUAGCAGAGGGGGGUAGAAUUCCACGUGUAGCAGUGAAAUGCGUAGAGAUGUGGAGGAAUACCAAUGGCGAAGGCAGCCCCCUGGGUUAACACUGACGCUCAUGCACGAAAGCGUGGGGAGCAAACAGG